Oncorhynchus keta (chum salmon) is the source of this 2470-nucleotide long non-coding RNA. RefSeq lists it as uncharacterized. Lineage: Eukaryota; Metazoa; Chordata; Actinopteri; Salmoniformes; Salmonidae. The record is from RefSeq and is a predicted model, not a curated record. The transcript has 3 exons.
AGUGUGUCUGAGACUCACAGUACCACAACGCAGGCCUGCUCAGUGUGUCUGAGACUCACAGUACCACAACGCAGGCCUGCUCAGUGUGUUUGAGACUCACAGUACCACAACGCAGGCCUGCUCAGUGUGUCUGAGACUCACGGUACCACAACGCAGGCCUGCUCAGUGUGUCUGAGACUCACAGUACCACAACGCAGGCCUGCUCAGUGUGUCUGAGACUCACAGUACCACACCGCAGGCCUGCUUGAUUAGUGCGUCAGAGACUCAGAAGAACCCCAGUAAACAUGGCCAGCACAGUCCACAGACCACAGCAGAACAGCUGAGACUGAGAGCUUCAUCAAUCAGCAGGUGAAUGGCAAUAUCCUGGACGCUACACACAGGCAUGAAAACACACACACACCCAGGCUGCUGAUGCAUUCAACCUGCUUUGCCUCUAUCUCUUGGGCAAAUAGCUGAGAGGGAAGAGAGAGGGAGAGAGAGAGAGAGAGCAGCUCAGCUGGAGUUCCCCUUAAUUACCUCCCCCAUGCCCACCACUGAUUAGCAGCACAACGCCAAGACUCAGGUGUGCUGGGCUGUCUCAGUGGCACUGUAAGAACAACAGCCUAUAUAAUAUAUAAAAACACAAACAACCGUGGACUAUAUCUGGGAGCUGGCUGACUUCCAGGCCACCUGACACCUCAUCACUAGGUAACACUUUCUCUUAGUGGAAACGCCACACCUACCAGCCAGGGCUCAGAGAGAGGCUGAGGAGAGGAACACUGACUGUCUGUCAUACUGUGACCUCAGACAGAAGAGCCAUGCUAGACACCUACUGGUGUUACCCCGGGGGAGUAUUGGAUGGGUGUGUGUGUGUUUGGGAGUGGUGUGUGGAAGGGAGAGUUUAUGUGUGUGUGUUGGGUGGGUGGGGGCUGGUUAUUGAGUGUGAGGGCUCAGCUGGGGCUGGGGGAUGAUGAGGAGGGGAAGUGGGUCAUUGUGGUGGAUGAGUGUGGGACUGAGAGAGGUAGAGAGGGUGAGGGGGAGGUGUGGAGAGAAGGCGAGAGUCCUGUUGGAUCAUUACAGAGUCCCCAGCUGAGGCAGGGAGAGGGAAAUGAAGGCUGCGUGAGAAGUGUGGGCAUGUAUUGGGCAGCGUGAGAGGAUGUAUUGGGCAGAGUGAGAGGUGUGGGGAUGUAUUGGGCAGUGUGAGAGGUGUGGGGAUGUAUUGGGCAGCGUGAGAGGUGUGGGGAUGUAUUGGGCAGCGUGAGAGGUGUGGGGAUGUAUUGGGCAGCGUGAGAGGUGUGGGGAUGUAUUGGGCAGAGUGAGAGGUGUGGGGAUGUAUUGGGCAGAGUGAGAGGUGUGGGGAUGUAUUGGGCAGCGUGAGAGGUGUGGGGAUGUAUUGGGCAGAGUGAGAGGUGUGGGGAUGUAUUGGGCAGAGUGAGAGGUGUGGGGAUGUAUUGGGCAGAGUGAGAGGUGUGGGGAUGUAUUGGGCAGAGUGAGAGGUGUGGGGAUGUAUUGGGCAGCGUGAGAGGUGUGGGGAUGUAUUGGGCAGCGUGAGAGGUGUGGGGAUGUAUUGGGCAGCGUGAGAGGUGUGGGGAUGUAUUGGGCAGCGUGAGAGGUGUGGGGAUGUAUUGGGCAGCGUGAGAGGUGUGGGGAUGUAUUGGGCAGCGUGAGAGGUGUGGGGAUGUAUUGGGCAGAGUGAGAGGUGUGGGGAUGUAUUGGGCAGAGUGAGAGGUGUGGGGAUGUAUUGGGCAGCGUGAGAGGUGUGGGGAUGUAUUGGGCAGCGUGAGAGGUGUGGGGAUGUAUUGGGCAGCGUGAGAGGUGUGGGGAUGUAUUGGGCAGCGUGAGAGGUGUGGGGAUGUAUUGGGCAGCGUGAGAGGUGUGGGGAUGUAUUGGGCAGCGUGAGAGGUGUGGGGAUGUAUUGGGCUGUGUGAGAGGUGUGGGGAUGUAUUGGGCUGUGUGAGAGUGGUGGGGAUGUAUUAGGAUUUGUGGGGGGGUUAAGCAGGUGCUGGAGAACGGGGCCUGGCCCAAGGCUGGUGGGUGGUGACUGGUGGAGGACAAGUGGAAGGUGCAGCAGAUGACACAUCCACAAGGUCACUCAGCCUCUCUGUCUCUCUCUCUGACUGCCUUCAUUAGAGAUACAGCAUCAGGAGAAGAGAACUACGACAUGACCUUCUAUUCAGUCUCACUUUUACCAGACGAUAUAGUCACCUCUACCUUCUAUGACUCAGAUCAUAUCAGUGUACAUGAUCAUAUGCAUAGUACACACUUGCCAUCGUAUAUGGUAUCAAGGUAAGGAAAUACUAGAUAAAGACUUGAGCAUAAAUCAAAACCAGUUUAGUUACAGUCUCUCAUCUCCUCUCUAUCACUCGCGCACUUAAUCAUCUCAACCUCCCAAAAUGCAUUUAUCUUUCCUCUCAACUCUUCAUCUCUCUAUCCAUCCUGCAUCUUUCAGCACGCUCCUCUUUCAGUACUGCGACUCCUCCAUCCCCUCCAU